GUGCUUGCUUUGGCAGCACAUAUACUAAAACUGGACUAAUACCAAGAAGAUUAGCAUUGCCCCUGCACAAGAUGACACACAAAUUUGUAAAAUUCAUUCAUAUUAA
This 106-nucleotide small nuclear RNA is filed under the name Canis lupus familiaris (dog). Lineage: Eukaryota; Metazoa; Chordata; Mammalia; Carnivora; Canidae. RNAcentral also lists the same sequence under 1 other name. The record is from RNAcentral.